UGAGAAUUUUUAAAGAAGGCUUCUGACAAGACUUGAUGAGAUGCUACAGCUGACAAGCAUGUGAAAAAGGAUGAAAUAACUUGAGGUCUGGAGUGAACAGUUACAUUCCUGGAUUGUUGAAAGGCCCAUUCUUUACAUGGGAUCAACCAUCUUUGGUGAGGCUGGGUGGAUGAUGCAGUUUCACUUCUAGGUGUUAGGAUUCUCUUUCACACUGGUUUGUCAUGACCUUAAAGUAUUUUAAGUUUCUCCUUUGCUUUGUGUUCACGCCCAAACUCCAAGGGUAGGAUCUACCACAUAGAGGGUGGAGUGGCAUUCCAAUUCCAUUUAUUUUCUGCUGAAGCUGGCACAUUGAAUGAAGAUUUAUAUCUUAAGUGACAGGAUUCAGACGAAACACGACAAACCUGUAAAAUCUGCAACGUGGACGUGUCAAUGCAGAACUUUCCAAUGAACUGGAUGGGACCAGGAAGACAAACCACACACACUGUCACGUUGUGCUGGGCAGCAUGACAGAUCAAAGAGAAUCCCAAGGAAGAGCAAGUCCUUGCUGGCUGCAGUGCACGUGGUGGGGGGUUCAGCACAGACUGCUGUUUGGUUUACGGAUUCAGGUGUGCGUCUAUCUUGGGCCUGCCUUUUUAUGGAAAAAUUUUGUGGAGAUACACUGCACUGACUGGAAAAUUAUUCACUUGUUUUUUAAUCAAAUUUAUCGAGUGGAAGCAUUGGUUAUGAAACUAGUCAUUUCACUGGACUUUAAUCCUGACCUAGUUGCCAACAAUGGGUGGUAAUUAUUAUUAUUUACCAAAGCAUAGAGAGAAUCUGUGUUAAAAGAGCAACCCAGGCAGGCACUGCUUUGGGGAGGGAUACAAGUUUUACCACCUUAGGAGAGAUGAAUUAGUUUUGUGAAACAUCUCUGAUUGUCUUGCUGAAGGACUCCAACCACUGGACAUGAAUAGAAGCGUGCGGCAACUUUGUACUGCAGACAGCAAGUUAAAGCCCCCCGCUCCCCCACGCCCAGGAAAGCUCAGGAGUCAGGGGCCUCAGCGGAGCACACUCCUGACUUUACCACUGUGUGCCAUGGUGCUCCUGACAGCCUGGUUGGCCGUCACUCAUCUAGAAGAAUGAAUGAACCUCGUAUUAAGCGCUCCUCGCUGUUGGUUCAAGUAGAUCUCCUCAGAGUUCUCACUAAUCAGGAUGCUGACCUGUUCCCACGUCUGUACUGGAUUAUCCCAGUCAGCUUCAGCACAGCACCUGCUCACCACCCAGGUGCAAGUCGCUGACCCACAGCUGCAGCCCAUCAGUGGAUAACCACUGGAUAACAGUGUUCCCACCGUCUUUGGCAGAUUUGAUUCCUGGACUCCCACAGAAGGAUUUCAGAGAAGUCUUUGAACAAAUGCAAGAGGCACAAACUUCACCUAACAACUGUUUACUGAAACAUGUGUAACUUCUGUGCCUGGCAUAGGGCUGAGUGCUGAGGGUCUGAAGCCAGACAGGUCCCUGCCCCCAAGGUGCUGUAGUGCACAGCCUGCAGUCAUGGAGCAGGUCUUAGGGCAUGGUUCUUCACUUGUGAGGGACUCCACAGCUGUGAGCACCUAAUGAGAACCUGCUGAUCAAGUGAAUGGGGCCGACCAGUAUCAGGAUGGCUGCUACUGGCAUCUGUGCAACUCGUCUCCACAGUGAAGAAGAUGAUGGACUCAGAUCCUCUUUGUUUUUGCUCUAUUUGUGCUUCUGUACAUGAGAUACCGGUAACCCUGGAGCAUGAAGGCCUUUCCUAAGGAGUACAUAAAGCCACAGAAAAGAAUGCAUCUUUCUUAGAAUGUCCAUAUCAUUCAAUGAUGAAUUAUGGAAAAGACUUUUAUAUUGAACUCAAAAUAUGCCCUGCGACAUAACAUGAAAUUAAAUCACAAUUUCAAAAUAAAAUCUAAGAUUUUAAAGAAGUGUCAUAUUUGCCGCCUAAGGCCACUUUGGGCCAUGUGCCCUGAUCCCAGGGAUAAACCUUCAUUCUGCAUCUCAGGAGAAUCCUUCAUUGUAGAGCUAGGACAAGGAUUUCCUGGUCUAGAUAGUGACUGGUUACCUACCACCUUACAGGCUCUCCCUCGAUGCCUUCCUCCAACUCUACUAUCUAACAAUGAAGUCUAACGUGGGGGAAUCCCACUAAAAUCCUAAACCAGAGGAAACAAGGUCAACUGCAGAAAUUCAGGCACUGUCUGCCCCGGUCCUUCUACAAUCCAGCCCGUGCAGUUCCCGUCACAGCAAGUGCUUCCUCUGUCAGAGCAGACAAACUGACUGAAGCCACAGCCGGAAGCACGCUGACCACAAGUGCUAAAGUUCUGGUUCAACUGAAGAGGCUGUUCUAAGAAAGACUACUGAGGUAAUCAGUCACCUUCCUCAGAGAAAGUCUGCUCAGGUAGUCUUGUUUAGUUUACCACGUAAACAAUGGAACAUUUAUUGUUGAAUCCUUUAUUCUUUUAUAGCCUGAUGGGAGACUUGACAUUUUUUGGUGGGGGCAUGACGGACAAAGAGACCUGGGGCUUCUCUUUCCUUCAUAGUCCCCUCUGAGGAGAUCAAAGAAGGUAAACACUGUCCUUUCGAUCAGACAGCAAGUGUGUUUCUACUCAGCUUACCAAGCAGGAGGACACACCAGGGUUUCCCAGAAUGCCUAGGGACACCCGGGAUGAGAGCGCAGAGGAGGCAGGGGAGGACUGAAGAUCAUCCUUUAACUUUCCAAAAGCAGGAAUAUAGGACACUUAAUAAACCUUAAAUCACUUGCCCCUUUUGUAGGGAGGGGUGAUUAUUUUUUACUGAACGGGACUAAAAUAAUCCGUAGAGCUCACUUUUUUAAGAUCACAGCAAAAAAUAGAACCCCAAAUCUGUUGCUUUCGGUGAACAACGGUGAUAAUGAUCUCUAUGCUCAGUGACUCUAAAAGCUAUUUAUAGCAAUUAUUAUACAUUCAGAAAAAACUGAACUAAAAAAUGAAUCCCAGGUAUGGACAUGUUAAAAAGAUCAUGGGGUUGGGGAGAGGGAGGGAUGAAUAAAUAGGGGGAGCACAGAGGGUUUUUAGAGCAGUGAAGCUAUUCUGUUUGCUGCUGUAAUGGUGGAUACAUGGCAUUAUACAUGUGUCAAAACCUAUAGAAGGUACAACACCAAGAGUGAAUCCUAAUGUAAAUUCUGGUCUGUAGCUAAUAAUGUGUCAUCUUGGUUCAUCAGUGGAAACAAACAUACCACGGUAAUGCAACAUGUUAAUAACAGGAGAAACUGGGUGGGAGUGAGGCAGGGAGGGGGGAGUGUACAGGAACUCUGUGCUUUCUGCUCUGUUUUUAUGUAAACCUAAAAGUGCUGUAAAAAAUAAAGUCUAUUAAAAACAAUAGAUCCCACACCUGGAAUUUGUUGGCCGGUCCCUAAUUCAAGGAUCCACACUUCCCUCUGUUCCCAAAGUAGAGUGAACUCAAACCACUUACGGUAUCCCUGCAUUUCACAGGUGUGUUUCUACAACAGCCUGUGACAUGAGUUUGUCAUCAGGAAGAGUCAUAGCCUGAAUCAAAAGCUCAGGACUUGAAGUCACAGUGCCGCAGUGUGUUAUAGACAGUGCAC
This is a long non-coding RNA of Herpailurus yagouaroundi (jaguarundi), 3586 nucleotides long. RefSeq lists it as uncharacterized. The record is from RefSeq and is a predicted model, not a curated record. NCBI's taxonomy places the organism in Eukaryota, Metazoa, Chordata, Mammalia, Carnivora, Felidae. The transcript has 7 exons.